ACACGUGGAUAACCUGCCCUCAGGUCUGGCAUAACCCCGGGAAACUGGGGAUAAUUCCGGAUAACGCAUAUAUGCUGGAAUGCUUUAUGCGUCAAAGGUCCUCCGCCUGAGGAUGGGUCUGCGGCCUAUCAGGUAGUAGCGGGUGUAAUGUACCUGCUAGCCGACGACGGGUACGGGUUGUGAGAGCAAGAGCCCGGAGAUGGAUUCUGAGACAUGAAUCCAGGCCCUACGGGGCGCAGCAGGCGCGAAAACUUUACAAUGCGGGAAACCGUGAUAAGGGGACACCGAGUGCCGGCAACAUUUGCUGGCUGUCCAGGUGUGUAAACUACACCUGUUAGCAAGGGCCGGGCAAGACCGGUGCCAGCCGCCGCGGUAACACCGGCGGCCCGAGUGGUGAUCGUUAUUAUUGGGUCUAAAGGGUCCGUAGCCGGUUUAGUCAGUCCUCCGGGAAAUCUGUCAGCUCAACUGAUAGGCUAUCGGGGGAUACUGCUAGACUUGGAACCGGGAGAGGUAAGAGGUACUACAGGGGUAGGAGUGAAAUCUUGUAAUCCCUGUGGGACCACCUGUGGCGAAGGCGUCUUACCAGAACGGGUUCGACGGUGAGGGACGAAAGCUGGGGGCACGAACCGGAUUAGAUACCCGGGUAGUCCCAGCCGUAAACGAUGCUCGCUAGGUGUCAUGCAUGGUGCGACCGUGUAUGGUGCCGUAGGGAAGCCGUGAAGCGAGCCACCUGGGAAGUACGGCCGCAAGGCUGAAACUUAAAGGAAUUGGCGGGGGAGCAC
RNAcentral lists this ribosomal RNA (782 nucleotides) under uncultured archaeon. RNAcentral describes it as "bacterial SSU rRNA". It matches the Rfam family "Archaeal small subunit ribosomal RNA", at positions 96 to 879 of the family's 1478-position model. The record is from RNAcentral.